RNAcentral lists this long non-coding RNA (634 nucleotides) under Suricata suricatta (meerkat). Its description in RNAcentral is "lncRNA (ENSSSUG00005000506.1)". The record is from RNAcentral. Lineage: Eukaryota; Metazoa; Chordata; Mammalia; Carnivora; Herpestidae.
ACAGUGCUUGGUAUAUAGGAAGUACUCAAUAAAUAAUUUCUUUUAUUUUUAGAAUCAGCACAGUUUGAGUAACUGGGAAUGAUGAGGGAGGAGGAGGAGAUAGUUAUGUUUUCCAAAUUAUGGCUUUGUUACCGAGUGGAUAGUGGUGCCAUUCAUUGAAAUUUGGAAGCAAUGUUGAGAAGGGGGAGAAGAAGAAAACCUGUGGCAGUGGAGGAUGAAGAGACAUCAAACGUCUGAAGAAAUAUCUUGCUUGAUCAUCUAGGGGAAUGGUCUUGGACACCUUCUUUAUAACAGAAAGUGCUGCAUAGGAAAGAAUGUCUACCUAUGAUGAAGCCUGCAUGGAGCAGGACAAUGGCUCUCUGUAUCUGAUGUGAAGAAAUUGGACUUGGUUAUAGCAAAACACACUCUGGAAGAAAGUCAGGAAGAACUGGAGAACUGGAAAGGAUUUUGGAAAUCAUCUUAAUCUCAUGUUUCUGAAAGUGGGAAUAACAUACAAUGGAAGGGAGAUGGUGAUGGGCUUCAGAACGCGCUACCUCAAAAUGUGGCACCCUGACACGCUGAAUAUUUUUUGCUGAAGAAGUUUGAGAAAACGGCAAAAGCAGGAAGGUAGGUCACUAUUGGUCGUAAAACUCUC